AUGAAUGCCGUCAUGAAAGUUUCUUCUCCUCUUCCUUCACUCAAACUCAGAAGGCGCUACCACCACAAACUUCUUCUCCGUUUUCUUUGUCGAGCUUCAACCUCGAGGUCUGUCGUGACCUCUUCCUUCUCGUCAUUACAGAUUCUAUCAAACAGAAAACCAGAAAGUUACUCAGAGUUGAAGAUUGUGGAAAGCAAACGAGGUUGCAUUGAUGCUCUAGCGACUUCUAUUUUCUUGCAGUGA
Vicia faba (fava bean) is the source of this 243-nucleotide non-coding RNA. The record is from the annotation of a GenBank genome assembly. Lineage: Eukaryota; Viridiplantae; Streptophyta; Magnoliopsida; Fabales; Fabaceae.